This 502-nucleotide ribosomal RNA is filed under the name uncultured Glomeromycotina. RNAcentral's name for it is "partial small subunit ribosomal RNA". It matches the Rfam family "Eukaryotic small subunit ribosomal RNA", at positions 591 to 1092 of the family's 1831-position model. The record is from RNAcentral. Lineage: Eukaryota; Fungi; Glomeromycota.
CCAAUAGCGUAUAUUAAAGUUGUUGCAGUUAAAAAGCUCGUAGUUGAACUUCGGGGUCUACCCAUUGGUCAGGCUUAAUUGUCUGCACUGGUGAGAUGGAUCUCUACCUUCUGAGGAACUUUCAUGCCAUUUAUUUGGUGUGAUGGGAAAUCAGGACUGUUACUUUGAAAAAAUUAGAGUGUUUAAAGCAGACUAUCGUCUGAAUACAUUAGCAUGGAAUAAUGAAAUAGGACGGACUGAUUCUAUUUCGUUGGUUUCUAGGAUCAUCGUAAUGAUUAAUAUGGAUAGUUGGGGGCAUUAGUAUUCAAUUGUCAGAGGUGAAAUUCUUGGAUUUAUUGAAGACUAACUACUGCGAAAGCAUUUGCCAAGGAUGUUUUCAUUAAUCAAGAACGAAAGUUAGGGGAUCGAAGACGAUCAGAUACCGUCGUAGUCUUAACCAUAAACUAUGCCGACUAGGGAUCGGACGAAGUUAAUUUUAUAAUGACGCGUUCGGCACCUUACG